GAUGAACGCUGGCGGCGUGCUUAACACAUGCAAGUCGAACGAAGCAUUUGCGACAGAUUUUUUCGGAAUGAAGUUGCUUAUGACUGAGUGGCGGACGGGUGAGUAACGCGUGGGUAACCUGCCUUGUACUGGGGGAUAGCAGCUGGAAACGGCUGGUAAUACCGCAUAAGCGCACAAUGUUGCAUGACAUGGUGUGAAAAACUCCGGUGGUAUAAGAUGGACCCGCGUCUGAUUAGCUAGUUGGUGAGAUAACAGCUCACCAAGGCGACGAUCAGUAGCCGACCUGAGAGGGUGACCGGCCACAUUGGGACUGAGACACGGCCCAGACUCCUACGGGAGGCAGCAGUGGGGAAUAUUGCACAAUGGAGGAAACUCUGAUGCAGCGACGCCGCGUGAGUGAAGAAGUAAUUCGUUAUGUAAAGCUCUAUCAGCAGGGAAGAUAGUGACGGUACCUGACUAAGAAGCUCCGGCUAAAUACGUG
Molecule: ribosomal RNA, 481 nt
Filed under: uncultured bacterium
Lineage: Bacteria
Description: partial 16S ribosomal RNA
Rfam family: Bacterial small subunit ribosomal RNA
Source: RNAcentral